UUUUUCGUGGUGUAUUAAACACAUCAACUUUUCGCGUUGGAGAUGAAUAAUUAUUCCGAGACUU
RNAcentral lists this transfer RNA (64 nucleotides) under Panopea generosa. Its description in RNAcentral is "tRNA-Glu". The record is from RNAcentral. Lineage: Eukaryota; Metazoa; Mollusca; Bivalvia; Adapedonta; Hiatellidae.